This 783-nucleotide ribosomal RNA is filed under the name Triticum aestivum (bread wheat). RNAcentral describes it as "partial small subunit ribosomal RNA". The record is from RNAcentral. Lineage: Eukaryota; Viridiplantae; Streptophyta; Magnoliopsida; Poales; Poaceae.
AUGCAUUCCUUGAGAAAUCAAAAGUUGAAAGAUGAUGGUAGCAGUUACACGGACUGGGUCAAUAACUUGAGGAUUAUCCUUAUUGCUGCUCAGAAGAAUUAUGUCCUGGAAGCACCGCUGGGUGCCAGGCCUGCUGCUGGAGCAACACCAGAUGUUAUGAACGUCUGGCAGAGCAAAGCUGAUGACUACUCGAUAGUUCAGUGUGCCAUGCUUUACGGCUUAGAAUCGGGACUUCAACGAUGUUUUGAACGUCAUGGAGCAUAUGACAUGUUCCAGGAGUUGAAGUUAAUAUUUCAAGCAAAUGCCAGGAUUGAGAGAUAUGAAGUCUCCAAUAAGUUCUAUAGCUGCAAGAUGGAGGAGAACAGUUCUGUCAGUGAGCAUAUACUCAAAAUGUCUGGGUAUAAUAAUCACUUGAUUCAGAUGGGAGUUAAUCUUCCAGAUGAUUGCGUCAUUGACAGAAUUCUCCAAUCACUGCCACCAAGCUACAAGAGCUUCGUGAUGAACUAUAAUAUGCAAGGGAUGAACAAGACUAUUCCCGAGCUCUUCGCAAUGCUGAAAGCUGCGGAGGUACAAAUCAAAAAGGAGCAUCAAGUGUUGAUGGUCAACAAGACCACUAGUUUCAAGAAAAAGGGCAAAGGGAAGAAGAAGGGGAACUUCAAGAAGAACAACAAGCAAGUUGCUGCUCAAGAGAAGAAACCCAAGUCUGGACCUAAGCCUGAAACUGAGUGCUUCUACUGCAAGCAAACUGGUCACUGGAAGCGGAACUGCCCCAAGUAUUUGGCG